AAAAAGAUAAACCUUGGAUUUCCGUGUCCAACGUUUAAUUAUUUGUCUUAUAUGAAAUUUUUUUUUAUAAUUAGUAUUUUCAUUGUUGUUAGAUGAUAAAACAUGAUUAAUACUUUAUGCGUGACUUGUCUUUUUAAUUUUUUUUUAUAUAUUUUUAAAUAAGAUGAACGGUCAAAUAUUGGACAUGGAAACCCAUAGUUUGUCUUUUU
Molecule: microRNA precursor, 209 nt
Organism: Oryza sativa Japonica Group (Japanese rice)
Lineage: Eukaryota; Viridiplantae; Streptophyta; Magnoliopsida; Poales; Poaceae
Rfam family: MIR812 microRNA precursor family
Source: Rfam